RNAcentral lists this ribosomal RNA (493 nucleotides) under uncultured bacterium. Its description in RNAcentral is "partial 16S ribosomal RNA". It matches the Rfam family "Bacterial small subunit ribosomal RNA", at positions 30 to 523 of the family's 1533-position model. The record is from RNAcentral.
AUUGAACGCUGGCGGCAUGCUUUACACAUGCAAGUCGAACGGUAACAGGUUAAGCUGACGAGUGGCGAACGGGUGAGUAAUGCAUCGGAACGUGCCCGGUCGUGGGGGAUAACGCAGCGAAAGCUGCGCUAAUACCGCAUACGAUCUGAGGAUGAAAGCGGGGGACCGUAAGGACUCGUGCGAUCGUAGCGGCCGAUGUCAGAUUAGGUAGUUGGUGGGGUAAAGGCUCACCAAGCCAACGAUCUGUAGCUGGUCUGAGAGGACGACCAGCCACACUGGGACUGAGACACGGCCCAGACUCCUACGGGAGGCAGCAGUGGGGAAUUUUGGACAAUGGGCGAAAGCCUGAUCCAGCAAUGCCGCGUGCAGGAAGAAGGCCUUCGGGUUGUAAACUGCUUUUGUACGGAGCGAAAAGGUCUCCUCUAAUACAGGGGGCUCAUGACGGUACCGUAAGAAUAAGCACCGGCUAACUACGUGCCAGCCGCCGCUGUAA